RNAcentral lists this ribosomal RNA (253 nucleotides) under uncultured bacterium. RNAcentral's name for it is "partial 16S ribosomal RNA". It matches the Rfam family "Bacterial small subunit ribosomal RNA", at positions 524 to 776 of the family's 1533-position model. The record is from RNAcentral.
UACAGAGGGGGCAAGCGUUGUUCGGAAUUACUGGGCGUAAAGGGCGCGUAGGCGGCCUUCUAAGUCGAACGUGAAAUCCCCGGGCUCAACCCGGGAACUGCGUCCGAAACUGGCAGGCUCGAAUUCGGGAGAGGGAUGCGGAAUUCCAGGUGUAGCGGUGAAAUGCGUAGAUAUCUGGAGGAACAUCGGUGGCGAAGGCGGCAUCCUGGACCGAUAUUGACGCUGAGGCGCGAAAGCGUGGGGAGCAAACAGG